GCCUAGGUGGGAAACUGAGGCUCAGAAGAAUGCACUUGCCUGAGGUCGUGCAGCCAGAACACAGGCUCCCUGCCUGCCACCAGCCCACUCCUUUACCCCUAGUCACCCUUAGUCACCCACUACAGGUCUCAACGUGCUCCUGGUUGGGAAGUCUCUUUUCUUAUCUAAACUCCAUUCAUCUUACUGCAGGACGGGCCCCUCGGUAUUGGUAAAUGUCAUAUCCUCAGGAUCAAGAAGUCAUUCCAAAAUGUGAAGCGUUCUGAAGAUAUGCACAUAGCGUAAGAACCUGGUGUAAUGUGCUGGUCAAGGCGGUCUCAGAGAGGAGAUGACGUUUGAGCUGACACCUGAGGGAUGAGAAGAAAGCAGCCAUUCCCAGGGCCCAGGGGAGGCAUCCCAGGAAGCCGGAUCAGCAUGAGCAAAAGCCCUGAGGCCUGGCACAAGUUGGUCUGCUUGAGAAGCAGGAGAGAGCCCUGAGCAUCCGGAGUGCAGCAAGCGAGGUGCACAGAGGAGCAGGAAGGGGCUGGGAGAAGGCUGGGGCCGGAUCAUGCAGGACAGGCUGGAGGAAGGGGCUUGAAUUGUCUUCUGACCACUGAGGGGAUAUAAACAUGAGGGCAAAAUCAUCUGAUUUCCAUGUGCAAAGGCCCACUCUGGCUGCUCUAGAGAGAACAGAUGAUUGCAGGGUAAAAGUGGAUUUAGAGAGGUCAGAUGGAGGCUGGGUACGUGCCGUGUAUGGUAGAUAGCAUGCUACCAAAUACACUCACAGGUAGCCCUAUUAUCUCCAUUUCACAGAUGAGCAAGUCAAGAUGCAGAAGGACUCUCUGGCUUGUCCAAGGUCACACGGCUGUUAGGAGCAGAGCAGCGUCCUGGUGCCCAAGCCCUGAGGUCCCCAGCACACUGCCUCUGCAAUGGCCACAACUGUCCAAAGACUAAGCUGACUCUCACACCUGGUAGUGUCUGUGGUCAUUCACUGUGGAUGGAAGUGGAGAAAUGCAGAAAACAGAAACACAGCUUCCCCUUUUCUGUCAUAUUUCUGUAUCGUUGGUGUUUGGAGCCAGUUGAGCACAAAGGGCCCCUGAGUGCUGUUUCCUUGUGAUAUUUGGGGGUUAACAGCUUCCCCUCAUCUCUUAAUUACCUGCCCUCCUUCACUUCAGCUGCACAUUCGUUAAAGAAUGCUCUCCCAGGAGAAGAGCUUGGUGUUAUCACCCACAAACAUCUUAGAAAACUAAUGCUAUCCUUGAGUGCCUGUUUACAGAAACAUUUUUACAUCUCACUUGACAUUUCCAGCAAAUCUUGAUCCUUCCAGCCAGGAAUAUUAAUAUAUAGGUCUUGAAAAGUGCAAGAGGCUCUUCCAUGGCUCCAAGCACAUUUGACACUCUUCCUUUUCUGAUCCCCAAGCAGACAGUGAUGAAACCCCAAUAGCUGGGCGAAUACUCAUCCAACAGGAAGAAUCAGUUUUAAGAGCUGGGUUCUCAGGGUCAAAUACUGUGGUGUGGCCUUUUGGUUGUAAUGAGUUGAAUGGAGGUCUCAAAAAAGAUAUAUCCAUGUUCUAAUCCCCAGAACUUGUGAAUGUGACCUUAUUUGGAAAAAGAGUCCUUUUGGAUGUAAUUAAGUUAAGGAUUUUGAGAUAAGGAGAUCAUCCUGGGUUAUCUGGGUGGACCCUAAAUCUGUUGACAAUGUCCUUAUGAGAGACCCCAGAGGGCACAGACAGGAAAGGAAGAGGCAAUGUGGCCCCAGAGGCUGAGAUCAGAGCUCUGUGGCCACAAUUCGAGGAACACCUGGAGCCACCAGAAGCUGGAGGAGGCAAGGAACAGAUUCUCCCUGAUCCUCUGGAUACAGAGGGAGAAUAGCCUGGCCGACACCUUGAUUUUGGACUUCUGGCCCCCAGAACUGAGAAAAUUAACUUCUGUUGUGUUAAGCAGCCACGUUUGUAGCAGUUCAUCAUAGCAGCCCUGGGAAAGAAAUACAGUGGGCUUCCAGUUCAAGGAGGAUCCACGAGGCCUGAGCUCCAUCUGUCGAUUGGAAUCACCAAAAUCAAGGUUGUGUGCGGGUAACGCCAGCACAAGCAGCUCAUGCUGGCAAAAGCAGACCAAACCGGCUCACGCAACGUCAAGUCAUCUUGAAGUGGUUCACGCACCACAGAGCAGACCUGCAGAGGGGCCAGAAGACACCUGGCCGGGUGGGGAGCAGCCCCUCCGUAAUAACAAUCGGAACCUGGGAAGAUAAGUAGAGUCCCAGGGGAGGGACAGAGUUUCCCCUGUGUCACCACAUGGCUACUUUGACACAAAUGCACGUGGGCAGAGAGAGGCAUGCAGGUCAAGGGCCUGGCAGGGAGUCAGGGGCCCUCAGUGCCAGUCCUGGCUCUGCCUCUGCCUCUGACACGCCAUGUGACCUUGAGCAAGUCACCACCCUGUCUGGGCUUCGCUAACCCAUAUACGGAAUGAGAAGGUAUCGUCCCUGGUCACUGCAGGUUUUAAAUCAUGUAGUGAGAGAGAGCUCAUUUGGUCCAACUCUCUGCAACUGAAGGAAUGGAGACACCAAGGGGGAGUAAUCGGCCGCAGUGAUGAGUGGGUGGCAAAGGGAGCUAUCACUACCAUUGAUUAUCCAGCUACUUGUGCUUGAUAAACUCCCUCCUGGUGGAAUGGGCUUUCCCACAUCCAGCAGCACAAAUGCUGUGAGCAUCUACUACGGGCUGGGCACCUUCUCUGGGCUGGCACUUGACAUGGGUUAUCUCAUUUAACUCCCUAACAACCCUAUGUGGUAUUAUCAUCCCCAUUUCACAGGCGGCAAAACUGAAUCCCAGAGAGAAGACUCACUCAGACACAGCUAUCUGAACACUCUUUUCCAGUUCCCCUAGGGCAGCAGAGGAAGCAAGGUGGGGGGAAGCCAGUGGUCAAGGAUUCCAUGCGGAAUGUACCCUAGAAUUAACCCAUGGAGAGAGGGUAAGGGAACGGGCUCAGGCCUGGGAAGAAGUGGGGAGGACAGUGUCCUGUUGACCUAUUCAAAAACAUCCAGUUUUAGUUAAUUUUUAGUUCAUUAGUCACCACUUUUUAUUAGUAUCUCAUGUAUUCUUUCACAGUUUCUUUCUGCAGGUACAAAAAUAAUGAUUUUUUUUCUUUCUUUUUCUUCUUUGAGACAGGGUCUCGCUCUGUUGCCCAGGCUGUAGUACAAUGGUGCAAUCUCGGCUCACUGCAACCUCUGCCUCUGGGUUCAAGCGAUCCUUUGCCUCCGCCUCCUGAGUAGCUGGAAUUACAGGCAUGCACCAUGAUGCUUGGUUAAUUUUUGUAUUUUUAGUAGAGUCAGGGUUUUGCUAUGUUGGCCAGGCUGGGCUCCAACUUCUGGUCUCAAGUGAUCCACCCGCCUCGGGCUCCCAAAGUGCCAGGAUUACAGGCGUGAGCCACUAUGCCUGGCCAAAAGUGGCGAUGUGUUCUUAAUGCCCAUUUUCACAUAAAAGGUAAUAAUCUACCCACACCAUGCUGUACCUUGUUUGUUUUUUGUGUGUUUGUUUGUUUGUUUUUUGACAGAGUCUUGCUCUGUCAGCUAGGCUAGAGUGCAGUGGCACAAUCUCAGCGCGCUGCAACCUCCGCCUCCCGGGUUCAAGCGAUUAUCCUGCCUCAGCCUGCUGGGUAGUUGGAAUUACAGGAGCCUGCCACCAUGCCCAGCUAAUUUUUGUGCUUUUAAUAGAGAUGGGGUUUCACCAUGUUGGCCAGGCUGGUCUCGAACUCCUGACCUCAAGUGAUCCAUCCACCUUGGCCUCCCGAAGUGCUGGGAUUACAGGCGUGACCCACCGCGCCUGGCUCUUGUUUGUUUUUUUAACUAAUCACACAUCUUAGAGACCUUUAUCAGUAAUUAGAGAGCUUCCUGGAUCUUUUAUAUCACUGCAUAAUAAAUAUUCUAUUAUAUAGAUUAGAAUAAUUCAAAUUACCAGUUCCCUAUUGGUGGACAUUUGUUUCUGGUUUGUUUGUUUUUUCUAUUUUUUUUCUUAUCACAAACAGUGCUGCAAUAAGUAAUUGUGCAUAUGCACUGUUUCACAUGUGUGCAGGUAUACCUGCAGGAUAAAUUCCCAAAAAUGAAUUCCUGAUUUAAGAGUAUCUUUUUUUUUUUGAGACAGGGUCUUGAUCUGUUGCCCAGGCUAAAGUGCAGUGGCAUGAUCACGAUGCACUGCAGCCUCAGCCUCCUGGGCUCAAGCGAUCUUCCCACCUCAGCUUCCCAAGUAGCUGGGACUACAGGCAUGUGGCACCACGGCUGGUUAAUAUUCUCAGUGUAACAGAGUUUCAUCACAUUGCCCAGGCUGGUCUUGAACUCCUGGGCUCAAGCAAUCCUCCCACCUCAGCAUCCCAAAGUGCUGGGAUCACAGGCAUGUGCCACCAUGCCUGGCAGGUUGAAAGUACUGUAUGAGUUAUCUAUUGCUGCAUACCAGAUUAUCAUAAACUCAGCAGUUUAAAAAAACACCCAUUGUUUAGCUCACAGUCUCACCUGAACUGGGUGCUGAGUUCAGGGUGAAACCAAGGUGGCGGCCAGGCUUGGUUCUUUUUUGGAAGCUCUGGGGGGAAAAUCUACUUCCAAGGCCAUUCUUGUUGUUGGCAGAAUCUGGAUCCUUGUGGUUGUAGAACUGAGUCUCUGGUUUCUUGCAGGCUUCCAGGAGGGGCCUCCCUGGGCUCCCGGAGGACACCCACAGUCCUCACCAUGCAGCUCCCUCCAACAUCAAGCCAGGAAUGGCCGAACAGAUCUUUCUCAUGCUUCAAAUCUCUGAUGAAUUUCUCUUGCCAGAGAAAGCUUGCCAUUUUCCAAGGGCUCACCCAGUCAGAUCCGUCCAACAAGGGUGAUCUCCCUAACAUUAGGUUAACUGACUUGGAACCUCAGUUAAUCUGCAAAAUCCCUUUUGUCAUAUAAUGGAAUACAAUCAUUUGGUUCACAUGCUCAUCUUAUUCACAGGCCCUACACUCAUACAAGGGCAGGGGACCACAGAAGAGUGAAGGCCAGUGAGGGUCACCUCAGAAUUCUGCCCAACACCGGUGUUUUGUAAUUUGGGUAGAUGUUGCCAUGUUGUCCUCCGUGGGGAUUAUGCAGAGGGAACUCUCCUCCUCCAGCAACAGUACAUGUACCUGCUUUUCCAUGGUGCUGCUUAGAGAAUGUUAUCAAACCUUUGGAUUUCUGCCAGUCUGAUAGGAGAAAAAUGGAAUCUCAAUUGUAUUUUAAAAUUGUAAUUAUCGCCUUAUGAAUAAGGCUGAGCAUUUCCUCAAAAGCAUAAGAGCCAUUUAUAUACUUUUUUCUUUAUGGCUUCUGGUUUUGAGGCAUAGAAAGGUCUUUCUAGCUCUAAAGUUAAUCAGAAAUUCUCUGUUUUCUUUUUGCUUUUUUUAAAAUUUUACUUUAAGUCCUUGGAUACAUGUGCUGAACGUGCAGGUUUGUUACAUAGGUAUACAUGGGCCAUGGUGGUUUGCUGCACCUAUCAACCCGUCAUCUAGGUUUUAAGCUCCACAUGCAUUAGGUAUUUGUCCUAAUGCUCUUCCUCCUCUUUCCCCAUGCCCCCAACAGGCCCCGGUGUGUGAUGUUCCCCUCCCUGUGUCCAUGUGUUCUCAUUGUUUAGCUCCCACUUAUGAGUGAGAACAUGCAGUGUUUGGUUUUCUGUUCCUGUGUUAGUUUGCUGAGGAUGAUGGUUUUCAGCUUCAUCCAGGUCCCUGCAAAGGACAUGAACUCAUUCUUUUUUAUGGCUGCAUAGUAUUCCAAGUUGCAUAUGUGCCACAUUUUCUUUAUCCAGUGUAUCAUUGAUGGGCUUUUGGGUUGCUUCCAAGUCUUUGCUAUCGUAAGUAGUGCUGCAAUAAACAAAUGUAUGCAUGUGUCUUUAUAGUAGAAUGAUUUAUAAUCCUUUGGGUAUAUACCCAGUAAUGGGAUUGCUGGGUCAAAUGGUAUUUCUAGUUCUAGAUCCUCGAGGAGUCGCCACACUGUCUUCCACAAUGGUUGAGCUAAUUUACACUCCCACCAACAGUGUAAACGUGUUCCUAUUUCUCCACAUCCUCACCAGCAUUUGUUAUUUCCAGACUUUUUAAUGAUUGCCAUUCUAACUGGCAUGAGAUGGUAUCUCCUUGUGGUUUUGAUUUGCAUUUCUCAGCUCAUUGCAACCUCUGCCUCCCAGGUUCAAGCAAUUCUCCUGCCUCAGCCUCCAGAGUAGCUGGGAUUACAGGGGCACGCCACCAAGCCCAGCUAAUUUUUGUAUUUUUAGCAGAAACAGGGCUUCACCAUGUUGGCCAGUCUGGUCUCAAACUCCUGAUCUCAAGUGAUCCAUCCACCUCAGCCUCCCAAAGUGCUGGGAUUAUAGGCGUGAGCCACCACGGCUGGCCAUUCUCCUGUGUUUUCUUCUGGGGCUUUUAUACUUUCAUUUUUUAAAAUCCAUAGUUUCUUGGAGCUGGAGGUGUCCCUUGUCAUUUUCUCAUCAGUGAGUGCAAAGCAGGAUCCCAAAAGGAUUGGAGUCCAGAGUAGAGAAAGGAGCUGCCGCGGUGGAGUCUGUUCAGUGCAGGCUCUGAUCUCCUUCAGCCCUGCCAGGAAUCCCAGCCAGCAGAUCUUCUUCCAGCUUCCCUUUCUCCAGCACUCUUGAUCUUCUGGGCUGGCACAGGGUCCAGGGUUGAUGGGGAUCCUAGCUGCCUGAGGAGCUUCCAGUCUGGAGGGUGAUACAAGCACAUGGCCAGACCUGAAUUCAAGCCAUGAGAGAGAUUCAGAACCUGGGCUGGGAGCGCAGGGGAGGGAGCGGGGUGCUGAUGGGGGUGGAUGGGAGGCUCCAGAGAGGAGGUGGCGUCUGAACUGAACCUUAAGAAUGAGGGGAAAUGUAAUGGCAGCGAUGAGAAAGGGGAGGCACUUCAGUGCAGAGAACAGCAAGAGCAAAGACAAGGAGGUGGAAAAUCAGCCAGAAACCUAGCCUGGAGAGGGUUUAGUGGACCAUGGGUCCUUGAUGGUAGAGACACAACAUGACUUAUCUCUGUGUCCCAUCCUCUGUGCCAGAGGCGGCAUCGACCAGACUUGGACAAAUGAAGCAGAAGGGACAGGGGACUUAGAAUACUAGGCUGCAUCAUUUUCUUUUUACUCUGACAGUGAGAAGCAAAGACCUCCACAAAGAAAGAAGCCCUUGGCUGUGUCAUCAUUUUAGAAUCUGGGCACUCUCUGCACACCACUGCCCCCUCAUGGCUGAUCUAGGAAUUCUCUCUAAAUCCCAGACUGAAGGUGAGGAGGAGGCUCAGUGAGUCUUAGAGAUUUGAAAAGCCGUGAAAUCCUGGUUGGAGAACAUCUGAGUCCAAAGGGCCCUCAGAGACUCUCUGACUUCCUCAUUA
RNAcentral lists this long non-coding RNA (7316 nucleotides) under Homo sapiens (human). RNAcentral's name for it is "HSALNT0004276". Lineage: Eukaryota; Metazoa; Chordata; Mammalia; Primates; Hominidae. The record is from RNAcentral.